This 172-nucleotide ribosomal RNA is filed under the name Boana prasina (Burmeister's treefrog). Its description in RNAcentral is "partial 16S ribosomal RNA". Lineage: Eukaryota; Metazoa; Chordata; Amphibia; Anura; Hylidae. The record is from RNAcentral.
ACGUGAUCUGAGUUCAGACCGGAGUAAUCCAGGUCAGUUUCUAUCUAUAAAGGGCUUUUUCUAGUACGAAAGGACCGAAAAAGCAUGGCCAAUGAUUAAUUAAGCCAUAUUAUUAACUUAUGACCACAGCUUAAUUAUUAAAAUACCUUUUAUUUUUCUUAAGAUAAGAGAA